This 907-nucleotide ribosomal RNA is filed under the name Amphidinium carterae. Its description in RNAcentral is "partial Eukaryotic large subunit ribosomal RNA". It matches the Rfam family "Eukaryotic large subunit ribosomal RNA", at positions 1 to 945 of the family's 3401-position model. The record is from RNAcentral. Lineage: Eukaryota; Dinophyceae; Amphidiniales; Amphidiniaceae.
UCAGCUUGGUAAGGAUACCCCCUGAAUUUAAGCAUAUAAUUAAGGGGAGGAAAAGAAACUAACAAGGAUUCCUUUAGUAACGGCGAGUGAAACAGGAUGAGCUCACCUAUAAUCGGCAAUUUUUUGCCGAGUUGUGGUCUGUAGAAGCAUUGUCGGUCGAGGUUCCGGGCUAAGUCUCUUGGAAAAGAGCAGCUGAGAGGGUGACACUCCCGUUCUUGCCUGGGAUCUGCGAUCAUAGCACAUGCCUUCAACGAGUCGAGUUGCUUGGGAUUGCAGCUCAAAUGCGUGGUAUACUCCAUGUAAAGCUAAAUAUAGGUAGGAAACCGAUAGCGCACAAGUACUGUGAAGGAAAGAUGCAAAGAACUUUGAAAAGAGAGUUAAAGAGUACCUGAAACUGUUGAAAGGGAAGCAAAUGGAAACAGUGUGUUUCCGUACCAUUCUUCCUUCGUGGCUUGCCACGGGGGCGCUGUGGUGCGGGAGUGGUCAGCAUGGGUUUGACUCGGAGCAUAUAGCUAUUCAGGAGGCAUCUGUCUUUUCAGAGAUUACUGUUUAGUGUUGUUCUGGGUUGGAUCGAGGUUAGUAUUUCGUGAUGCUGACGAAAUGUUUCUAUUUACCCCGUCUUGAAACACGGACCAAGGAGUCUAACAUGUUCGCGAGUAUCUGAGUGGCAAACUCAUAUGCGCAAUGAAAGUAACAGUGGUAGGACCUUCUGGGGCACUAUCCGCCGGCAUUGAUCCUUCGGGAGAAAGGUCUGAGUGUGAGCAUACAUGUUGGGACCCGAAAGAUGGUGAACUAUGCCUGAAUAGGGUGAAGCCACCGGAAACGGUGGUGGAGGCUCGUAGCGGUUCUGACGUGCAAAUCGAUCGUCAAAUUUGGGUAUAGGGGCGAAAGACUAAUCGAACCAUCU